This 478-nucleotide long non-coding RNA is filed under the name Gallus gallus (chicken). RNAcentral describes it as "long non-coding RNA NONGGAT009305". The record is from RNAcentral. Lineage: Eukaryota; Metazoa; Chordata; Aves; Galliformes; Phasianidae.
CCCGGCCCCCAGCCGCAGCGCAUCCUCAGCGCAGGGAGGACCCGACGUUUGGGGUCCCCAAGGGGAUACUACCACCGAGGGAUGAGCUGCGGGGCUGGGAGCCGAGGGGUGGAUAAAUCCCUUCCUGGCGAGUCCGAGCCCUGGAAAAUCUUGUGAAUCUAACGCUAGCCCUUCUGGCAGUUACCGGAGCAAUUCCUGUUUCUCUCCAGCCGCACUCUGUAAAGUUUUAUAGUUUCCUGGUUGGGGCUGCGAGGCCCCAGCCGUGCCGAGGAGGGUGGCGGGGGGAACGCAGGAAGCAGGGGGCCAGGUGGGGCGGCCCCGCUAUGCUCAGCCGUGAGCACCGUGUCCCCAUGUCCCCUGCUCCGAUGGCAAUGGGGCUGUGCCAACUGCCACCCGCCGUCCCAGCUGGUGGAGACGUCACAAAGCCAGCAGCCUCCCAGUCACUGGGUUUGCCAUUCUGGCCUUGUUGGUAUAGGCG